UAAUAACUUAGUUUAUUUAAUAAAAUUAAUACCUUGAAAGUAUUAGUAAGAGAAAUAUCUCUAGUUAUU
RNAcentral lists this transfer RNA (69 nucleotides) under Geocharax gracilis. Its description in RNAcentral is "tRNA-Ser". The record is from RNAcentral. Lineage: Eukaryota; Metazoa; Arthropoda; Malacostraca; Decapoda; Parastacidae.